GUUAGGUGCAGUGGCAAGCUCUUGUAGUCCCAGCUACUGGGGAGGCUGAGGAAGGGGGAUCACUUGAAUCCAGGAGUUUGAGGCCAACCUUGGCAACAGAGCAAGUCCCUGUCUCAA
RNAcentral lists this small RNA (117 nucleotides) under Marmota monax (woodchuck). The record is from RNAcentral. Lineage: Eukaryota; Metazoa; Chordata; Mammalia; Rodentia; Sciuridae.